AGAGUUUGAUCCUGGCUCAGAACGAACGUUGGCGAGAUGUUUUAAGCAUGCAAGUCGAGCGGUAGAAAGGAGCUUGCUCCUUUUGAGAGCGGCGAACGGGUGAGUAACACGUAGGUUAUCUGCCCCGUAGACUGGGAUAGCCUCUGGAAACAGUGAUUAAUACCGGAUAAUCUCUUACGAGCAAAGGUGCGUUUGCACCACUAUGGGAUGAGCCUGCGCCCUAUUAGCUUGUUGGCGGGGUAAGAGCCCACCAAGGCGAUGAUAGGUAGCCGACCUGAGAGGGUGAUCGGCCACAUUGGGACUGAGACACGGCCCAGACUCCUACGGGAGGCAGCAGCUAAGAAUAUUCCGCAAUGGGCGAAAGCCUGACGGAGCAAUCUCGCGUGAGUGAUGAAGGCCUUCGGGUUGUAAGGCUCUUUCGGCAGGGAAGAAUUAGAGAAUAGGAAAUGUAUUUUCGAUGACUGUACCUGCAGAAGAGGGACCGGCUAAUUACGUGCCAGCAGCCGCGGUAAUACGUAGGGUCCAAACGUUGUUCGGAAUUAUUGGGCGUAAAGGGUACGUAGGCGGCCAAAUAAGUUAGUGGUGAAAUCCCGGGGCUUAACUCCGUCCUGCCUCUAAAACUAUUUGGCUAGAGUCGCUUAUAUAGGUAGCAGGAAUUCCUAGUGUAGGAGUGAAAUCUGUAGAUAUUAGGAGGAACACCAAUGGCGAAGGCAAGCUACUGGGUAGUGACUGACGCUGAUGUACGAAAGCCAGGGUAGCGAAUGGGAUUAGAGACCCCAGUAGUCCUGGCCGUAAACGAUGUAUACUAGUUCUAUGGGUAUUUUUUUAUCCGUGGAACGUAGCUAACGCGUUAAGUAUACCGCCUGGGGACUAUGCACGCAAGUGUGAAACUCAGAGGAAUUGACGGGGGCUCGCACAAGCAGUGGAGCAUGUGGUUUAAUUCGAUGAUACGCGAAAAACCUUACCUAGGCUUGAACGUGUAGUGACAGCCGGUGAAAGCCGGUUUCCCUUCGGGGCACUAUGCGAGAUGCUGCAUGGCUGUCGUCAGCUCGUGUUGUGAAAUGUUGGGUUAAGUCCCGCAACGAGCGCAACCCUUAUCCUAUGUUGCUAAACUACUUCGGUAGUAGGACUCUUAGGAGACUGCCCUGGUUAACGGGGAGGAAGGUGGGGAUGACGUCAAGUCCUCAUGGCCCUUAUGUCUAGGGCUACACACGUGCUACAAUGGGGAGUACAAAGGGAAGCGAGACUGCAAGGUUAAGCAAAUCCCAAAAAAACUCUUCUCAGUUCGGAUCGCAGUCUGCAACUCGACUGCGUGAAGUUGGAAUCGCUAGUAAUCGCAGAUCAGCAUGCUGCGGUGAAUACGUUCUCGAGCCUUGUACACACCGCCCGUCACACCACCCGAGUUAGGAAUACCCGAAGUCGUUGUACCAACCGCAAGGAGGAAGGCGCCGAAGGUGUUUUUGAUAAGGAGGGUGAAGUCGUAACAAGGCG
This 1491-nucleotide ribosomal RNA is filed under the name metagenome. RNAcentral's name for it is "bacterial SSU rRNA". It matches the Rfam family "Bacterial small subunit ribosomal RNA". The record is from RNAcentral.